Sparus aurata (gilthead seabream) is the source of this 127-nucleotide small nucleolar RNA. Its record names the gene SNORA71. It matches the Rfam family "Small nucleolar RNA SNORA71". From Rfam's summary of the family: The members of this family belong to the H/ACA class of snoRNAs which bind a number of proteins (including dyskerin, Gar1p and Nop10p) to form snoRNP complexes. The record is from Ensembl. Lineage: Eukaryota; Metazoa; Chordata; Actinopteri; Spariformes; Sparidae.
CCCUGUAUCGAAAGUGAUCAUGGCGUCCUUGUAGCCAGGUCAUUGAUACUACAGGAAGAUGAAGCUGAGAGCCUUUCCCGUGUCUGAAGGACUCCUUAUUUCUCUCAGACCCUGGCGCUCCCAGACA